AGAGUUUGAUCCUGGCUCAGAACGAACGCUGGCGGCGUGCUUAACACAUGCAAGUCGCGUGCGCAGUUUCGUAGCAAUACGGGAUGGGCGCACGGCGCACGGGUGCGUAACACGUGGGCAAUCUGCCCUCCGAUGGGGAAUAACCCCGCGAAAGCGGGGCUAAUACCGCAUAACAUUCCUUGGACGAUGGUUCGAGGAUUCAAAGCAGUGAUGCGUCGGAGGAGGAGCCCGCGCCCGAUUAGCUAGUUGGUGAGGUAACGGCUCACCAAGGCAAUGAUCGGUAGCUGGUCUGAGAGGAUGGCCAGCCACACUGGAACUGAGACACGGUCCAGACUCCUACGGGAGGCAGCAGUGGGGAAUCUUGCGCAAUGGGCGAAAGCCUGACGCAGCGACGCCGCGUGGGGGAUGAAGCUUUUCGGAGUGUAAACCCCUUUCGACUGGGACAAAUGCCCGCAAGGGAGUGACGGUACCAGUAGAAGAAGCCCCGGCUAACUACGUGC
This 500-nucleotide ribosomal RNA is filed under the name uncultured bacterium. RNAcentral's name for it is "bacterial SSU rRNA". It matches the Rfam family "Bacterial small subunit ribosomal RNA", at positions 8 to 508 of the family's 1533-position model. The record is from RNAcentral.